Molecule: unclassified non-coding RNA, 591 nt
Filed under: Thelephoraceae sp. 15 CG-2012
Lineage: Eukaryota; Fungi; Basidiomycota; Agaricomycetes; Thelephorales; Thelephoraceae
Description: sequence contains ITS1, 5.8S rRNA gene, ITS2
Rfam family: 5.8S ribosomal RNA (bases 199-353)
Source: RNAcentral
UAUCAUACAACGGGGGAGGUGCUUGGGCUGUAGCUGACCUUUCAACGGGUCGUGCACGCCUGAGCGCGCUCUCACACAUCCAUCUCACCCCUCUGUGCAUCACCGCGUGGGUCUUCCUUUGCAGGAGGGCUCGCGUUUUCACACAAAAACUUGAUACAGUGUAGAAUGUUACCUUUUGCGGUCACACGCAAUCAAUACAACUUUCAACAACGGAUCUCUUGGCUCUCGCAUCGAUGAAGAACGCAGCGAAAUGCGAUACGUAAUGUGAAUUGCAGAAUUCAGUGAAUCAUCGAAUCUUUGAACGCACCUUGCGCCCUUUGGCUAUUCCGAAGGGCAUGCCUGUUUGAGUAUCAUGAACACCUCAACUCUCAUGGUUUGCCAUGAUGAGCUUGGACUCUGGGGGUCUUGCUGGCCUGAUGGUCAGCUCCUCUCAAAUGAAUCAGCUUCCCAGUGUUUGGUGGCAUCACAGGUGUGAUAACUAUCUACGCUUGUGGUGUCCUCCCAGGUAACCUUCAGCAAUGGAGGUCACUGGAGCUAAUAAAUGCACAUCUCUCAUCGUAGAGACGGCUUUUUAGAUGUUUGAUCUCAAAU